RNAcentral lists this ribosomal RNA (943 nucleotides) under Hyphoderma sp. EYu-2015a. RNAcentral's name for it is "eukaryotic LSU rRNA". It matches the Rfam family "Eukaryotic large subunit ribosomal RNA", at positions 40 to 968 of the family's 3401-position model. Lineage: Eukaryota; Fungi; Basidiomycota; Agaricomycetes; Polyporales; Hyphodermataceae. The record is from RNAcentral.
AUAUCAAUAAGCGGAGGAAAAGAAACUAACAAGGAUUCCCCUAGUAACUGCGAGUGAAGCGGGAAAAGCUCAAAUUUAAAAUCUGGCAGUCUUUGGCUGUCCGAGUUGUAAUCUGGAGAAGUGUUUUCCGCGCUGGACCGUGUACAAGUCUCUUGGAACAGAGCGUCAUAGAGGGUGAGAAUCCCGUCUUUGACACGGACUACCAGUGCUUUGUGAUGCGCUUUCAAAGAGUCGAGUUGUUUGGGAAUGCAGCUCAAAAUGGGUGGUAAAUUCCAUCUAAAGCUAAAUAUUGGCGAGAGACCGAUAGCGAACAAGUACCGUGAGGGAAAGAUGAAAAGCACUUUGGAAAGAGAGUUAAACAGUACGUGAAAUUGUUGAAAGGGAAACGCUUGAAGUCAGUCGCGUUGUUCAGAACUCAGCCUGACUUUUGUCUGGUGUAUUUUCUGUGCGACGGGCCAGCAUCAAUUUUGACCAUUGGAAAAGGGCCAGAGGAAUGUGGCACCUUCGGGUGUGUUAUAGCCUUUGGUCGCAUACAAUGGUUGGGAUUGAGGAUCUCAGCAUGCCUUUUGGCCGGGGUUCGCCCACGUUCAUGCUUAGGAUGCUGGCGUAAUGGCUUUAAACGACCCGUCUUGAAACACGGACCAAGGAGUCUAACAUGCCUGCGAGUAUUUGGGUGGAAAACCCGAGUGCGCAAUGAAAGUGAAAGUUGGGAUCUCUGUCAUGGGGAGCACCGACGCCCGGACCAGACCUUUUGUGACGGCUCCGCGGUAGAGCAUGUAUGUUGGGACCCGAAAGAUGGUGAACUAUGCCUGAAUAGGGUGAAGCCAGAGGAAACUCUGGUGGAGGCUCGUAGCGAUUCUGACGUGCAAAUCGAUCGUCAAAUUUGGGUAUAGGGGCGAAAGACUAAUCGAACCAUCUAGUAGCUGGUUCCUGCACAGAAGAA